UACGAAGGAUGCAAGCGUUAUCCGGAUUUAUUGGGUUUAAAGGGUGCGUAGGCGGACUUAUAAGUCAGUGGUGAAAUCUCGUUGCUUAACAACGAACGUGCCAUUGAUACUGUAGGUCUUGAGUACAGAUGCCGUUGGCGGAAUGUGUCAUGUAGCGGUGAAAUGCAUAGAUAUGACACAGAACACCGAUUGCGAAGGCAGCUGACGAAACUGUAACUGACGCUGAGGCACGAAAGCGUGGGGAGCGAACAGG
This 253-nucleotide ribosomal RNA is filed under the name uncultured bacterium. Its description in RNAcentral is "partial 16S ribosomal RNA". It matches the Rfam family "Bacterial small subunit ribosomal RNA", at positions 524 to 776 of the family's 1533-position model. The record is from RNAcentral.